RNAcentral lists this transfer RNA (62 nucleotides) under Tenebrionoidea sp. 15 KM-2017. RNAcentral's name for it is "tRNA-Glu". Lineage: Eukaryota; Metazoa; Arthropoda; Insecta; Coleoptera. The record is from RNAcentral.
AUUUAUAUAGUUUAAAUAAAACCUUUCAUUUUCAAUGAAAAAUUAAUUAAUAUUUAUAAAUA